UACAGAGGUCCCGAGCGUUGUUCGGAUUCACUGGGCGUAAAGGGUGCGCAGGUGGGUUGGCAAGUUCGAUGUGAAAGCCCCGGGCUUAACCCGGGAAUGGCAUUGGAAACUGCUGAUCUGGAGGAUCGGAGGGGGACUGGAAUUCUUGGUGUAGCAGUGAAAUGCGUAGAUAUCAAGAGGAACACCAGUGGCGAAGGCGAGUCCCUGGACGAUACCUGACACUGAGGCACGAAAGCCAAGGGAGCAAACAGG
Molecule: ribosomal RNA, 252 nt
Filed under: uncultured bacterium
Lineage: Bacteria
Description: partial 16S ribosomal RNA
Rfam family: Bacterial small subunit ribosomal RNA
Source: RNAcentral